Molecule: long non-coding RNA, 180 nt
Organism: Suncus etruscus (white-toothed pygmy shrew)
Lineage: Eukaryota; Metazoa; Chordata; Mammalia; Eulipotyphla; Soricidae
Exons: 2
Source: RefSeq, a predicted model, not a curated record
UCAUAUCGGCGAAAAGAUGGCGUCUUUCUUUAUUUUGAAGAUAAUGCAGGGGUCAUAGUAAACAAUAAAGGUGAAAUGAAGGUUCUGCCAUCACUGGACCAGUUGCAAAGGAAUGUGCAGACUUAUGGCCCAGGAUUGCUUCCAAUGCAGGCAGUAUUGCUUGAUUCUUCGGUGUUUGUA